Molecule: long non-coding RNA, 249 nt
Organism: Malania oleifera
Lineage: Eukaryota; Viridiplantae; Streptophyta; Magnoliopsida; Santalales; Ximeniaceae
Exons: 2
Source: RefSeq, a predicted model, not a curated record
UUCAGGGUGUUGAGUUGAGAACCUUGUGGGUACGGGGGAGAUUUUCUUAGGGGCUUUUCAGGAAUCAGGAGCCCCUGAUAGGAGAGCGGGAAAAGCCCCGCUGAUCUAGAUCAGUUGGUUGCCCUCUUUGGAAGGGUAAGUUUUUGGUAGGGACAGUUAGGUUUUUGUGGGGAUUGUCCCUAGAUUUCAUUUUUGGGAUGUAUAUACUGUGAGAUAGUAAUUGUAGUGACUCUGGUAUGUGUUAUGCAC